CUGUUAAGGGUUACUGCGGAAGGAUCAUUAAUUAUGUUAAAGCGCCUUACCUUAGGGUUUCCUCUGGGGUAAGUGAUUGCUUCUACACUGUGAAAAUUUGGCUGAGAGACUCAGACUGGUCAUGGGUAGACCUAUCUGGGGUUUGAUCGAUGCCACUCCUGGUUUCAGGAGUACCCUUCAUAAUAAACCUAGAAAUUCAGUAUUAUAAAGUUUAAUAAAAAACAACUUUUAACAAUGGAUCUCUUGGUUCUCGCAUCGAUGAAGAACGUAGCAAAGUGCGAUAACUAGUGUGAAUUGCAUAUUCAGUGAAUCAUCGAGUCUUUGAACGCAGCUUGCACUCUAUGGUUUUUCUAUAGAGUACGCCUGCUUCAGUAUCAUCACAAACCCACACAUAACAUUUGUUUAUGUGGUGAUGGGUCGCAUCGCUGUUUUAUUACAGUGAGCACCUAAAAUGUGUGUGAUUUUCUGUCUGGCUUGCUAGGCAGGAAUAUUACGCUGGUCUCAGGAUCUUUUUUUUUGGUUCGCCCAGGAAGUAAAGUACAAGAGUAUAAUCCAGUAACUUUCAAACUAUGAUCUGAAGUCAGGUGGGAUUACCCGCUGAACUUAAGCAUAUCAAAAGCCGGAGGGAA
Molecule: ribosomal RNA, 629 nt
Filed under: Rhizopus arrhizus
Lineage: Eukaryota; Fungi; Mucoromycota; Mucoromycetes; Mucorales; Rhizopodaceae
Description: eukaryotic LSU rRNA
Rfam family: 5.8S ribosomal RNA (bases 224-377)
Source: RNAcentral